This 253-nucleotide ribosomal RNA is filed under the name uncultured bacterium. RNAcentral describes it as "partial 16S ribosomal RNA". It matches the Rfam family "Bacterial small subunit ribosomal RNA", at positions 524 to 776 of the family's 1533-position model. The record is from RNAcentral.
UACGUAGGCAGCAAACGUUGUUCGGAGUUACUGGGCGUAAAGAGUACGUAGGCGGUUUGCCAAGUUUGGUGUGAAAUCUCCUGGCUUAACUGGGAGGGUGCGCCGAAUACUGGCGGGCUUGAGUAUUGGAGAGGAAAGCGGAAUUCCUGGUGUAGCGGUGAAAUGCGUAGAUAUCAGGAGGAACACCGGUGGUGUAGACGGCUUUCUGGACAAUCACCGACGCUGAGGUACGAAAGCGUGGGUAGCAAACAGG